UACGUAGGGGGCGAGCGUUGUCCGGAAUUACUGGGCGUAAAGCGCGUGUAGGCGGUUGAUCAAGUCGGGUGUGAAAUGCUACAGCUUAACUGUGGCACUGCGCUCGAAACUGGUUGACUGGAGUUCGGUAGGGGUAACUGGAAUUCCUGGUGUAACGGUGAAAUGUGUAGAUAUCAGGAGGAACACCUGUGGCGAAGGCGGGUUACUGGACCAGAACUGACGCUGAGACGCGAGAGCGUGGGGAGCAAACAGG
This 253-nucleotide ribosomal RNA is filed under the name uncultured bacterium. Its description in RNAcentral is "partial 16S ribosomal RNA". It matches the Rfam family "Bacterial small subunit ribosomal RNA", at positions 524 to 776 of the family's 1533-position model. The record is from RNAcentral.